Non-coding RNA from Mycena epipterygia, 89 nucleotides. Lineage: Eukaryota; Fungi; Basidiomycota; Agaricomycetes; Agaricales; Mycenaceae. The record is from the annotation of a GenBank genome assembly.
GACUCGGUGGCGGAGGGUCCGCAUUGCCUUCGUUACGGGUAUAGCGAUACAGUCAGCAGAAGACGCCCGUUCGACUCGGGCCCGAGUUA